Molecule: ribosomal RNA, 424 nt
Filed under: uncultured bacterium
Lineage: Bacteria
Description: bacterial SSU rRNA
Rfam family: Bacterial small subunit ribosomal RNA
Source: RNAcentral
GUUAGGAAUAUUGGACAAUGGGCGCAAGCCUGAUCCAGCCAUGCCGCGUGAGUGAUGAAGGCCUUCGGGUUGUAAAGCUCUUUAGCCGAUGAUUAUAAUGACUGUAGUCGGAAAAUAAGCCCCGGCUAACUUCGUGCCAGCAGCCGCGGUAAUACGAAGGGGGCGAGCGUUAUUCGGAAUCACUGGGCGUAAAGCGUGCGUAGGCGGCUUUGCAAGUUGGGAGUGAAAGCCCAGGGCUCAACCCUGGAAUUGCUCUCAAAACUGCAAGGCUCGAAUUCGGGAGAGGAUAGCGGAAUUGUCAGUGUAGCAGUGAAAUGCGUAGAUAUUGACAGGAACACCAGUGGCGUAAGCGGCUAUCUGGACCGAUAUUGACGCUGAGGCACGAAAGCGUGGGGAUCAAACAGGAUUAGAAACCCUGUAGUCC